GACGAGGCACUACGGUGCUGAAGCAACAAAUGCCCUGCUUCCAGGAAAAGCCUCUAAGCAUCAGGUAACAUCAAAUCGUACCCCAAACCGACACAGGUGGUCAGGUAGAGAAUACCAAGGCGCUUGAGAGAACUCGGGUGAAGGAACUAGGCAAAAUGGUGCCGUAACUUCGGGAGAAGGCACGCUGACACGUAGGUGAAGUGAUUUACUCAUGGAGCUGAAGUCAGUCGAAGAUACCAGCUGGCUGCAACUGUUUAUUAAAAACACAGCACUGUGCAAACACGAAAGUGGACGUAUACGGUGUGACGCCUGCCCGGUGCCGGAAGGUUAAUUGAUGGGGUCAGCGCAAGCGAAGCUCCUGAUCGAAGCCCCGGUAAACGGCGGCCGUAACUAUAACGGUCCUAAGGUAGCGAAAUUCCUUGUCGGGUAAGUUCCGACCUGCACGAAUGGCGUAAUGAUGGCCAGGCUGUCUCCACCCGAGACUCAGUGAAAUUGAACUCGCUGUGAAGAUGCAGUGUACCCGCGGCAAGACGGAAAGACCCCGUGAACCUUUACUAUAGCUUGACACUGAACAUUGAGCCUUGAUGUGUAGGAUAGGUGGGAGGCUUUGAAGUGUGGACGCCAGUCUGCAUGGAGCCGACCUUGAAAUACCACCCUUUAAUGUUUGAUGUUCUAACGUGGACCCGUGAUCCGGGUUGCGGACAGUGUCUGGUGGGUAGUUUGACUGGGGCGGUCUCCUCCUAAAGAGUAACGGAGGAGCACGAAGGUUGGCUAAUCCUGGUCGGACAUCAGGAGGUUAGUGCAAUGGCAUAAGCCAGCUUGACUGCGAGCGUGACGGCGCGAGCAGGUGCGAAAGCAGGUCAUAGUGAUCCGGUGGUUCUGAAUGGAAGGGCCAUCGCUCAACGGAUAAAAGGUACUCCGGGGAUAACAGGCUGAUACCGCCCAAGAGUUCAUAUCGACGGCGGUGUUUGGCACCUCGAUGUCGGCUCAUCACAUCCUGGGGCUGAAGUAGGUCCCAAGGGUAUGGCUGUUCGCCAUUUAAAGUGGUACGCGAGCUGGGUUUAGAACGUCGUGAGACAGUUCGGUCCCUAUCUGCCGUGGGCGCUGGAGAACUGAGGGGGGCUGCUCCUAGUACGAGAGGACCGGAGUGGACGCAUCACUGGUGUUCGGGUUGUCAUGCCAAUGGCACUGCCCGGUAGCUAAAUGCGGAAGAGAUAAGUGCUGAAAGCAUCUAAGCACGAAACUUGCCCCGAGAUGAGUUCUCCCUGAGACUUUAAGUCUCCUGAAGGAACGUUGAAGACGACGACGUUGAUAGGCCGGGUGUGUAAGCGCAGCGAUGCGUUGAGCUAACCGGUACUAAUGAACCGUGAGGCUUAACCUUACA
Molecule: ribosomal RNA, 1384 nt
Filed under: Salmonella enterica
Lineage: Bacteria; Pseudomonadati; Pseudomonadota; Gammaproteobacteria; Enterobacterales; Enterobacteriaceae
Also listed under: 1 other name
Description: partial 23S ribosomal RNA
Rfam family: Bacterial large subunit ribosomal RNA
Source: RNAcentral